This 508-nucleotide ribosomal RNA is filed under the name Lerista alia (Bulleringa fine-lined slider). RNAcentral's name for it is "Lerista sp. JWW-2018a partial large subunit ribosomal RNA". It matches the Rfam family "Bacterial large subunit ribosomal RNA", at positions 1849 to 2609 of the family's 2925-position model. The record is from RNAcentral. Lineage: Eukaryota; Metazoa; Chordata; Lepidosauria; Squamata; Scincidae.
AAGGUCCUGCCUGCCCAGUGAAAACUUUAAACGGCCGCGGUAUCCUAACCGUGCAAAGGUAGCGUAAUCACUUGUCUUCUAAAUAAAGACCAGUAUGAACGGCUAAAUGAGGACAAACCUGUCUCCUACAACCAAUCAGUGAAACUGAUCUUCCAGUACAAAAGCUGGGAUAAUAACAUCAGACGAGAAGACCCUGUGGAGCUUAAAAUACACCUAGUACAAAUAAACAACUAGCACAAAUUUUAAGUUGGGGCGACUUCGGAAAAAAACAAAACUUCCGAGCACAGAAUCACCAGUUCUAACCGAGGCAAACAGGCCAAAGCAAAGCUUGACCCAGUCCACACUGACCAACGAACCAAGUUACCCCAGGGAUAACAGCGCCAUCCUCUUCAAGAGCCCAUAUCGACAAGAGGGUUUACGACCUCGAUGUUGGAUCAGGGCACCCCAAUGGUGCAACCGCUAUUAAAGGUUCGUUUGUUCAACGAUUAACAGCCCUACGUGAUCUGAG